This 482-nucleotide ribosomal RNA is filed under the name uncultured bacterium. RNAcentral's name for it is "partial 16S ribosomal RNA". It matches the Rfam family "Bacterial small subunit ribosomal RNA", at positions 30 to 507 of the family's 1533-position model. The record is from RNAcentral.
AUUGAACGCUGGCGGCAUGCCUUACACAUGCAAGUCGAACGGUAACGGGCCUUCGGGUGCCGACGAGUGGCGAACGGGUGAGUAAUACAUCGGAACGUGCCCGAUCGUGGGGGAUAACGAGGCGAAAGCUUUGCUAAUACCGCAUACGAUCUACGGAUGAAAGCAGGGGACCGCAAGGCCUUGCGCGGACGGAGCGGCCGAUGGCGGAUUAGGUAGUUGGUGGGAUAAAAGCUUACCAAGCCGACGAUCUGUAGCUGGUCUGAGAGGAUGAUCAGCCACACUGGGACUGAGACACGGCCCAGACUCCUACGGGAGGCAGCAGUGGGGAAUUUUGGACAAUGGGCGCAAGCCUGAUCCAGCCAUGCCGCGUGCAGGAUGAAGGCCUUCGGGUUGUAAACUGCUUUUGUACGGAACGAAAAGCCUUCUUUUAAUACAGGAGGGUCAUGACGGUACCGUAAGAAUAAGCACCGGCUAACUACGUG